Homo sapiens (human) is the source of this 4472-nucleotide long non-coding RNA. Ensembl annotates it as TMCC1 divergent transcript. Its record names the gene TMCC1-DT. NCBI's taxonomy places the organism in Eukaryota, Metazoa, Chordata, Mammalia, Primates, Hominidae. The record is from Ensembl.
GGGCUGGUUGAGCUGCGCCGCUGCAGGUAGUGCUGAGUUGCUCCAGGUAAGCUCCUCCUCUCAAAAAGCUCUAGGAACCGAGCCACCCUCGCCCUAGGAGCAACGCCCCUGAGUAAUAUGGGGUUUCGUCGGAUUUCUGCCCGCCGCUCUGGAUCACACGUUUGUUCUCCCUAUUUGAGUCGCAAGGCCUUCCUUCAUUCCACCUAGCAGGCUGCUUGGAAAAGGGCAGAGACUCAUUACUUUGCACCAGUGCCACUGGGUUAGGGUCUCCACAACCGAGCUGGUCUCAGCAAGUGGUGUCCAUACAUGGGGCUCGAACCUGGGUUGAAGGGUCGCCAGAGCGACGGUUGGAGAACGUGGAACUAAGCUGGAGGACACCUGAGUACUCUUAAGCAAUCCCCGUGGUGAGUAAGAAGGGGAGCUCGGAAGCAUCAGGGUAUCAAUGGGACAAGUGUGGGCUCUGGUUCAUUCCACCUUGGAACCUUUUCACCCUAAUGAUGAGGAGGAAGGAAAGUAUAAUGAACUAACAGAAGACAUGACAGAGCAGGUUUGUUUGCCAGCUAAAGCUAAAGCGGCAAAGGAGGAAGAGGUUCCUCCCUACCCUUCUGCACCCCCUCAUUAUUUUGAAGAAAAAGAGUAGCCUGACCCUCCAGAUCUUUCUUUUCCAGAGGACACUGGGUGAAAAGUAGUUGCCCCAGUGACCGAGCAGUGCCUCGAGUGACCGCUCUCAGUUCUAUUCAAGCAGGAAUCCAGCAAGCUAGAAGAGAGGGUGAUUUAGAGGUUUGGCAGUCCCUGUUGGAAUACACCCCCCAGAUCAACAGGGAAAUAUUAUAGCUACAUUUGAGCCUUUUCCUUUUAAAUUACUCAAAGAAUUUAAACAAGCUAUUAAUCAGUAUGGACAAGGUUAUCCUUUUGUAAUGGGACUGUUAAAGAAUGUUCCUGUCUCCAGUCAGAUGUUGCCAGUGGGGCUUAUAGGAUUACUUCUAGGUAGAUCUAGUUUAAAUUUAAAAGGACUGCAAGUAUAUACAGGAGUCAUUGAUUCAGAUUACAAUGGGGAAAUUCAAAUUGUUUUAUCUACUUCUGUUGCCUGGAAAGCAGAGCCAGGAGAGCGCAUAGCACAGCUCCUGAUUGUGCCAUAUGUGGAAAUGGGGAAAAGUGAAAUUAAACGAACAGGAGGAUUUGGAAGCACAAAUAAACAAGGUGAAGCAGCUUAUUGGGUGAAUCAAAUUACUGAUAAAUGUCCUACCUGUGAAAUAACUAUUCAGGGAAAGAAAUUUAAAGGUUUGGUAGAUACAGGAGCAGACAUUUCAGUUAUUUCUCUACAGCACUGGUCAUCCUCCUGGCCAAUUCAACUCGCUCAAUUUAACAUAGUUGGAGUUGGUAAAGCCCCUGAAGUAUAUCAAAGUAGUUAUAUUUUGCACUGUGAAGGGCCCGAUGGACAACCUGGGACUAUUCAACCAAUUGUAACUUCUGUACCUAUAAAUUUAUGGAGGAGAGAUUUAUUACAACAAUGGGGAGCACAAGUUCUAAUUCCAGAACAAUUAUAUAGCCCUCAAAGUCAACAUAUGAUGCAUGGAAUGGGGUAUGUCCCUGGUAUGGGACUAGGAAAAAAUUUGCAAUGUUUGAAGGAACCACUUCAAGCAGGAAGACAAAGUUCCCACCAAGGUUUAGGGUAUCAUUUUUGAUCGUGGCCAUUGUUAAGCCUCCAGAACCUAUACCUUUAAAAUGGUUGACAGAUAAGCCAAUUUGGAUAGAAUAAUGGCCACUAAAUAAAGAGAAACUGGAGGCUUUAGAGGACUUAGUUACUGAAUAAUUAGAAAAAGAACACAUAGCUCCAACAUUUUCCCCUUGGAAUUCUUCAGUCUUUAUUAUUAAGAAAAAAUCAGGUAAAUGGAGAAUAUUAACUGACUUAAGAGCCGUUAAUUCCGUUAUACAACCUACAGGGGCAUUACAGCCAGGAUUGUCUUUUCCUGCUAUGAUUCUGAAAAAUCAGCCUUUAAUAGCCAUAGAUUUAAAAGACUGUUUCUUUACUAUCCCCUUAGCUGAGCAAGACUGUGAACAGUUUGCAUUUACAAUUCCUGCAGUAAACAACCUGCAGCCUGCUAAGCAUUUGCAUUGGAAAGUGUUGCCAGAAGGCAUGUUAAAUAGUCCAACAAUUUGCCAGACUUAUGUAGGGCAAGCAAUUGAACCUACUUGUAAAAAUUUUCACAGUGUUACAUUAUUCAUUAUGUGGACGAUAUACUUUGUGCUGCCGCCCCUCGAGAAAUAUUACUCCAAUGUUAUGAUCACUUGCAAAACUCGAUUUCUCGUGCCAGUUUAAUUAUAGCUACUUAAAAAAUUCAGACUACUACUCCUUACUCCUACUUGGGGAACUUAGUAAAUGACACUACCAUUGUGCCACAGAAAGUAACCAUAUAGUAACCAUAUACGUCGGGAUCAAUUGAAAACAUUAAAUGACUUUAAAAAAUUACUAGGGGACAUUAAUUGCAUAUGACCUGCUCUAGGCAUUCCUACCUAUGCCAUGAGUAAUCUAUUUUCUAUCCUUAGAGGAGAUCCUAGUCUCACUAGCCCUUGGCAAUUAACAAAUGAGGCUGAGGCAGAGUUACAGCUGAUUGAAAAGCAAGUCUGUAAAGCUCAAAUGAAUAGAAUAGAUCAAGAGAAGACUCUAGAUUUGCUAAUUUUUUCAACUCAGUAUUCACCUACUGUGUUAUUGUCCAAGAGCAGGACUUAGUAGAAUGGCUUUUUCUUCCACAUGCUAAUUCACAGACUUUGACCCCUUAUUUGGAUCGAAUUGCUACUAUGAUAGGAAAUGGGAGAACUCGGAUUGUUAAAUUACAUGGAUAUGAUCCUGGAAAAAUUAUUGUUCCUCUUACAAAGGCACAAAUACAGCAACUUUUAUAAAUAGUCUUACUUGGCAAACCCACGUAGCUGACUUUGUGGGUAUUUUCAAUAACCAUUUUCCUAAAACAAAAUUAUUUCAAUUUUUGAAAUUAACUAAUUGGAUUCUCCCUAAAAUAACUAAAUUUAAACCAAUUGAAAGUGCUGAAAAUGUCUUCACAGAUGGGUCUAGUAAUGGUAAAGCUUCUUAUUCUGGAUCGAAAGGUAAAGUUUUCCAGACGCCCUAUACUUCGGCUCAAAAAGCAGAGCUUGUAGCUAUAAUUGAGGUAUUGACUGCUUUUGAUAUACCUAUUAAUGUGAUUUCUGAUUCUUCAUAUGUGGUUCAUUCCACACAAUUAAUUGAAAAUGCUCAGUUACGAUUUCAUACAGAUGAACAACUGAUGACUUUAUUUACCCAACUGCAAACAGCAAUUAGGAGUAGAAUGCACCCUUUCUACAUUACUCAUAUUCGGGCUCAUACACCUCUUCCAGGACCUUUGACUCCAGGGAAUCAAAUGGCUGAUCGCCUAGUUGCUACUGCAAUAUCUAAUGCCAGACACUUUCACAAUUUAACCCAUGUUAAUGCCUCUGGUCUCAAACGCAGAUACAGCAUUACCUGGACAGAAGCUAAAGCUAUUAUCCAGUGAUGCCCAACUUGUCAAAUGGUGCAUUCCUCGUCUUUUACAGGGGGAGUUAAUCCUCGAGGAUUGGAACGUAAUUCUCUUUGGCAAAUGGAUGUCACCCACGUUCCCUCGUUUGGGAGACUAGCUUAUGUACAUGUAUGUGUGGACACCUUUUCUCACUUUGUCUGGGCUACAUGCCAAUCAGGAGAGUCUUCUGCCUGAGUUAAACAUCACCUUUUGCAGUGUUUUGUGGUGAUGGGCAUUCCAGCUUCUAUUAAAACAGAUAACGUCCCAGGCUAUACUAGCCAAGCUCUAGCUACAUUUUUCUCUAUAUGGAAUACUAAACACAUUACUGGCAUUCCGUAUAAUUCUCAAGGACAAGCCAUAGUGGAAAGAAUGAAUCCCUCCCUGAAACAGCAGUUGCAAAAGCAAAAAGGGGGAAACAGGGACUAUGGGAUACCCCAUAUGCAAUUGAAUCUAGUAUUAUUGACUUUAAAUUUUUUGAGACUGCCUAAAGGCCAGAUGCUAUCAGCAGCUGAAUAGCAUCUACAGAAACCAGCUGCAAAGACAGAAGCAGAACAACUGGUUUGGUGGAGAGAGCCAAUGAUAAAAAGUUGGGAAAUGGGUAGAAUAAUAACUUGGGGUAGAGGUUAUCCUUGUGUUUCUCCAGGACCAAAUCAACUGCCAAUUUGGAUAUCAUCGAGGCACCUGAAACCUUAUCAUGAGCCUGAUGCUGAGGAAUAGAUUCUGGGAGGAUCCCGAGGAUCCCCUGGUUGCAGCCAUGUUGAGACUGACGCUGAGGGGGACCCCAACUGUCACGAGCAACACCCAUCGAACGCAGCCACCUACCUGGGGACAGAUCAAGAAGCUGUCACAGAUGGCAGAAGAAAACCUAAGGAAAGUGGGACAACCAGUCACAAUGAGUAAUUUAAUGAUAGCUAUGAUAGUGGUGAUCACCAUUGCCAUGAGUAU